AAAGACUGAAGAACUGGGUCCUAACAGAACUUCUUUUAAUAUACAGUAGCUAAUCAUAAACACUGCUGUCACUCAUAAUAUACACUGCAUGUCAAAUGCAGGGUUUUCCACCUCUCUGAUUUGUGAUACCAAUAUAAAUGACAAACAGAAGCAAUAAAAGAUCAGGAAAUGAUCAGCAGAUAGCCCAUUUAUGUGGUGACCAUUGUCUCAGGUUUCUUAGGCUGUGUGAUUAGGAACAGUGAAAGAACUCUAUGGGAUCGACUCCACAAUGCAAAAUUCUGUAUAAUGGAAUGUGGAAGGGGUCUAGGGCUUCUCACAUAGUCACGGACUUUACUGGGGAACAUUGUGAAAAUUUAAUCUCUAAUUCAGUAGCCCUGGACUUCUGUGUGAAUGAUACAAUAUCAGGUUUUCAAAAGACAUUCCUUGAAUUGAAGCCUCCCAUGGAAAUGAAAGAUUCUGACUCAACAGAGGCCUCAGCCAAGAUGCAUAGACAAGGAUUCCUAGCAGAUGUAGUAGACAUAAAACUGGAAACAGAGAACCAGGAUUAUCCUGAUAGCCGAGAAAAUAUUCAGUCAUCUAACACCAUUACAUCUCUUCAGUCAAAGUGCACUCCUCAUUUAUCAGUUGGAAUAACUUCAAGAUCCACGAGUCUUCUAACUGAAGGAGAGAAAGAUUUCCAUAAGAAAAACCCUGACUGGAAGCCUACCCAGUAUCUGCCUGGAAGUAAAGCUCUAGCUUCAUCGGAAGUAUCAAUGCUGAAGCACAAACAAGAAUUUCCACCAGAAGGAUACUUACAAAUAAAAACAGAGGAAAGUCAGAAAAACCUUGACAGGAAUGAAAACAUGCAAUCAUCUAAUUCUGUUAUACAGCCGAAUCAAAUUCUUCAUUUACAAAUAGGACUAGCACUGAGACCCACAGAUCUUCUGAAUGAAGGAAAAAAAGGCUUUUGUGUUAACAAUUCUGAACAAAAGUCUUCCAUUGAAGAGAACUACGUUCCAACUAAAGAACCGGCAGUAAAGUGUGGACGAGAAUUCCCAGCAGGUAAAUCGUGUGAGGCUGCUCCCUUUGGAAUAACUACUUGAAACAUUCAAAACUCUCAUGCUUGCAGUCUUCUCAUAUCUAAGGCUUGCCUCCCUCCACAAAUGACUAGAAAUUGAUAGAGAUUAUCCAAAUAUCAUUUUCAUAUCGUUUAGAAAUAAGUGGUUACAUAUUAGUAUUAAUUUAGGGAUUAUAAUUAAUUAUUUCCGUUUCUAUGGAUCAGCCUACCCAUGUUUCCACUUUGGAUGCCCAAAUGUCUUGCAGGUGAUCUUAGUUUAGUAAGGAACAAUAUACAUUUUAUGAAGUUUAAAAGUGCUUACUCAAGAUAUUAUGUGGUGGUCUAUAACUG
Molecule: long non-coding RNA, 1387 nt
Filed under: Mus spicilegus (steppe mouse)
Lineage: Eukaryota; Metazoa; Chordata; Mammalia; Rodentia; Muridae
Description: lncRNA (ENSMSIG00000018321.1)
Source: RNAcentral